GAUGAACGCUGGCGGCGUGCCUAAUACAUGCAAGUCGAGCGAACAGACGAGGAGCUUGCUCCUCUGACGUUAGCGGCGGACGGGUGAGUAACACGUGGAUAACCUACCUAUAAGACUGGGAUAACUUCGGGAAACCGGAGCUAAUACCGGAUAAUAUAUUGAACCGCAUGGUUCAAUAGUGAAAGACGGUUUUGCUGUCACUUAUAGAUGGAUCCGCGCCGCAUUAGCUAGUUGGUAAGGUAACGGCUUACCAAGGCAACGAUGCGUAGCCGACCUGAGAGGGUGAUCGGCCACACUGGAACUGAGACACGGUCCAGACUCCUACGGGAGGCCGCAGUAGGGAAUCUUCCGCAAUGGGCGAAAGCCUGACGGAGCAACGCCGCGUGAGUGAUGACGGUCUUCGGAUCGUAAAACUCUGUUAUUAGGGAAGAACAAAUGUGUAAGUAACUAUGCACGUCUUGACGGUACCUAAUCAGAAAGCCACGGCUAACUACGUG
Molecule: ribosomal RNA, 497 nt
Filed under: uncultured bacterium
Lineage: Bacteria
Description: partial 16S ribosomal RNA
Rfam family: Bacterial small subunit ribosomal RNA
Source: RNAcentral